GCGAGCAGAUGGGAAAGAUAAAUGCGGAUAACGCUGCCGUGUCUGGAAUAACACGGCUCAAGAAAAACAAACGAGGCAAAUGAGAGAACAUUUCUGCUUGCAGCACAUGAAAAUAAACUCUUUGUUUGGAACUGGAAAACUAAAAGAAAUUAUUUCUUUUUUAAUUAAAACACCUUUGAAACUCUAACAAGUGUUUCUGAAGGAUGCAGGAAAGAGAGAGGAUGUGAGAAAGAGGCGGACGGAUUUACACUCUCUCCAGUGCUCUGACCUUUACCACAGAAGAUUCCAUACACCAGAGCUACUCUUUUGAUUUUGACAAACCCUAACUGUUGAAGGAACAAUCACUACAGGUUAGGAAUGGCGAUGAUGAUUAUGAAUGGGCCAAAACUUCAGCUGCUGCAGAGAGCAGGCCAUUUAUGUGACCUCAGUCAGCAAAAUUGUUUACAUAGAUAUUGAUGUCCUCACCUCCAUUCCCUGUAUUUCGAAACAA
This is a long non-coding RNA of Lepisosteus oculatus (spotted gar), 490 nucleotides long. RefSeq lists it as uncharacterized. Lineage: Eukaryota; Metazoa; Chordata; Actinopteri; Semionotiformes; Lepisosteidae. The record is from RefSeq and is a predicted model, not a curated record.